UCUGAGAACAAUGAAGCUCCCAUGAAGUAAGAGUAUCUUCUUUUAUUCCUUUCUCAUUGCUAAAAAGUCUCCUCCUGGGAGACUGAGGAAUCCACCAAACAAUGAGUCCUUCCAUGAAAGGGAGACACAGCCGGAAGGAAGUUGCUACUUCCCGAGCUGAUCACUCAUCUCGCCUUGGACUAAUCCCCAUGAAUCCUGCCCAAGCCAAUGCACCUUCUCGCCUACCGAGAGUCCGUGCAGCUCCUUCGGGACCACCAGCAUGGAGAGCUGAGGCAGGUGGAAGAUGGGACCGGAGGGAUUCCAAGCCCUUCUACCUCUAGAAAUCCAUGACUGUCCUUGACCCAAUGUCACUCACAGCCUUCCUCUGAGGCAUGCUCUUUGGGAGAUCAUCCCCAGGUGCCGAUUCCAGUACCAGCUGCUCCCCGCUAAUGUGCCUGUGAAAGCAGCAGAGGAUGGCCCAAGUCCUUGGGCCCCUGCACCCACGUGGAAGACCAGGAAGAAGCUCCUGGCUCCUGGUGUCAGAUCAGUCCAGCUCCAGCCGUUGUAGCCAUUUGGGGAGUGAACUAGUGGA
Non-coding RNA from Oryctolagus cuniculus (rabbit), 571 nucleotides. The record is from RefSeq and is a predicted model, not a curated record. Lineage: Eukaryota; Metazoa; Chordata; Mammalia; Lagomorpha; Leporidae.